GCGGGGACGGCCGAGGGGAGGGCCCGCCGGGGGCCGACCUGCCGGCUCCUCCCCCCGCCGCCCUGCGCGCAUAAAGCCCCGCGCUCGCCGGCGCGUCCGGGCGCCCGUGGAGGCGGCGGCGCCUGGACCCUGCUCUCGCUGGGCUCCCGGGUCCCCGAGGGUGAGAGAGACCCCGAGCCCCGAUGCGGGCUGGGACCUGGGCGCGGCCGCAACCCCCACCCACCCCAGCGCGGGGGCCGGGCCGCGGGAACGCCCUCCCGGAACGAAGCGCUUCCCGGUACCUUCAAGGUAGCUCGGUUCCUGAUCGGGGACCCCCCAGUCCUCCCUCUCAGGCCCCCGCUGCCCCGAAUCGGAGAGGUCCUCAGUAGCCCUGGGUCGGGAGGGAGACAGCCUCACGGCCCCCAGGCCCCUCGCGGUGCAUUGGGUGAGAAUCCCUCCAUCCUGCCAGUCGGAGCGAGAAGCCGCCCUCCAAGCCCCCAGCUGCCUCGAACCUAAUUUAGGGUUCUCUCUCAGCGGCUUUCAGUCCACUCCCAGUGUCCCAGAUCCCUCAGAUCCAAUUUGGGGAGCCCUUUCUGUGCCUCGCGUCCCGAGUGGGGAGCCUCCACCCGCACCCCAGCAGAAACCGUAUCAGUUUCCCCAGUUGCUCGUCAUCCUUGCUGUCCCGAAUGAGAACCCCCCUCAGCUGUCCCAAGUCCCUGCCGUCCACAGAAGCCCCCCUGCCCCGAGCCUGUGGGGCACCCCCACCCCGCGUAUGAGGAAUCUCCACUGUGUUUCUCUGGCUCCCCGGCUCUCGCCCGCCCCACGCAGACCACUGUCUGGAUUCGGUAAAGCCGGUUCCGGCCGCUCCCUGGCCCCUCCCCACCCAGUCCCGGGGAGAGGCCAGUGCCUCUUAGAGACUCCCUUUUCCAGUUUAGGGGCCUCCAGGCUCAGCGGGGCGCCUUCCCCCUCCGGAUGACCCCCUCGUAAGCCCCACCCCAUCGGACUGGAAGAACCUAACUGCCUACCCACCGCGUUUGGAGUUACUUCUCUCUGUCCAUCUCAGCUGGAGACACUGCCCCCGAAGGCCAGACACCUUCGGCCCCCCCUGCUCCUCCCCAGGCCCCCAUCUUACGGGUCUCUGAGGUCCCCCCGAAGGUUCCCUCAAGACUCCUGGCGGCCCCCCGCAAAAACUCCCUCCCUCCAGCCUGGGAGCCGUGAGCAAGUCCAUGCUGGAUCGCCCCGGAAGCCGGAGGCGGCCCCCUCUGGGUCCCCAUUUGGCCAAAUCCAUAUCCUCUCCUUCAUUUCCCAGCCCGGAGUCAAACCAGGAGGCUAAGGCAGCCAGCCACUCCCUCCGUGCCCUGAACUCCCAGCCCUGCUGGGGCGGGUCUCAGGGCCACACUAGCCCCUCCCCCCAACUCACCUCCCACUCUGUCCCCUCCCCUCUCUACCUUAAAUCCACGCCGCGUAACCUCGUGACACCCCUUGACGACAUCCCAUCGCUUCUCACCUUGACAUCCCUUCUCCAGUCAGCCACAUUUUAUCAACGUGCCCAGCAGCUCUGGGCAGCGGAGCCCUGACCUCUGGAAGGGUGCCCAUGACCCCACCCCUUAGUAAACGUUCCCCCGCCCGCCCCAAUCACCACACGUAUGGGAACCUGAGAAACUCAAGUUAAUGGUUUCCUCCGGACCUUCUGGGAACACUCAGCAGGUCUAUCCUGCCACCCUGUGUGUGUGACGCCAUGCCAGCUUGCUUUUUCCUGUUGUUAUGCUCCUCCUGGCCCGCAGUUUCUCAGACCCCCUGAACUCGGGUUGGGGGGCUUCCCACACGAGGCAUGUCUCACCAUCUCAACGCAAACCGGAGCAUCAGGUGUGCCCUGGAAGAGACACCCGUGAAGGUCAGUCGGUAGCACCUUCAGUGUUAGGGAACUGACUGUUCCCAGGGCCACACCUCCUGACCCUCGUGUGCCAAAGGGAGCCCAUGGGGAUGUGCGAGGAGGGGAGAACCCGAAGUGUCCACGGGCAUUGGUUUGGGUGCUGGUGCUGUUGGGCAGGUGGCCUGCAGGGUGGGAGAUGGGCAAGGGUCACUGGUCCAGAGCCAGCCAAGCCUUCGUGAGCAGUGGAUUGAGAUGGGUUCCAUUUAUCAGUGUCCCCACUCGGGAGGAGGAAGUGUAUCCUUGUCACCCCCUGGUUUGAAGCACAGUAAUGUUUGGGGGGGCACUUAACAGAAGUCACCUCCUCCUGCAGGUUCAUCUCAGCUUCGCUGCUUCAGGCCACACUGGCUGUGCACUGGGGGCAAGGAGUCCUCCCGGGGGCAGCCCUCACAGGACAGUGUGGCUGCACGUGCGGGAUCCUCACGGUAACCUGAGGGUCUCAGUGGUGUUCAGGAACAAUGAUCUUCGGGGCAACCGGCCCAAGCUCCAGAAUUCAGGGACUAGAGGGUGUGGUUCCGGCUCUUUCUGUCUAGUACUCCACGCACUGCGCAUCACUCACAGAACCAAAGAAUGACUUGCUUUAUAGGUCUUUUUUUUUUUUUAAUCUCUUCCAGAAAGAGGGCAAGUGACUUAAUGCCGGAGCACUGAGAUGCAACUUGGCACAGUCAUUCCGUCGACAAAUAUUUAUUGAACACCAGCCGCCCAGCAGCCACUGUCUUAAGCACUGUAUUCCUAGCACCUGCCUUUGUGAAGCUUGCUUUCUAGAGACAGGAGCCAGAUAAUAAAUAAAUAGGUAAACAGAUAAGUAGGAUGUCAGUUAGGUGUUGGUAAGUGCUAUGGAGAAGGAAGGGGGACAGGGAGGGUGGGAGGUGUGGGGGCGAGGGGAAGACGCAAUGUCAACUCAGGCAAGUUCUCAUGGGGAGGGGUGAUGUUUUAGUAAAGACGUGAAGGAAAUGGGGUGCAUUGAUCUACUGUAUUAUCCAGAACUGUCACUUAAGCAGGACACCUGCCUCUCUUGAGUGCAAUGCUAAUUGAUAUUCACAAUUUGACUUUUCACUGCUCUGACAACAAUGGUUCCCCAAACUUAAUGCGCUUAAAAUAUCAUCCAGUGAUUUUUCCAGCAGACACAGGGUAAAUGGGGGCUCUGAAAACUGCUUAAAAAAAAAAAAAGGCAAGCAAGCACCUCUAUCAGAAGAUGCUGAUCGCUGAGGUUUUCCUUGGACCACUCUUAAAGAAACACUGCUCUAAAAUAAAGAGUCUCCUAGAACGACAACAACAACAACAAAAUUAUAGCAAGUGAAUGGCUGGGGUAAUGAAAGCGUUGGACUGAAAGAUGAUAGAUUCACCACCACCGUUUCUGGUUGAGUCUAGAGGAACACCACGCAGCCUUCCGAGCCUCCGUGUACUCACAGAGUAAGGCUUGCCGAAAGACUUGAGUGAGACCACGUAUUUGAAAGCAAUCUAAGAUCUGGAAAGCACUCUGGAAAGGGGAAGAAAUUCUGACUGUGCUUCCGCCGAUCCAGUUCAUUUGGUCCAGUGUAUGUACAGUCACCUUCAAGACAGUGUGGCAGUGGGCACCGAGCUAUCCAUCUAGAUCAACAGAAUGGAAUGAAGACUCCACAAAUAAACCGGUCCCUUCAAAAAAAAAAACGGUGCUGGGACAACGGGAGAGCCGUGUGCAAGAGAACAAAGUUGUACCACUACCUCACACCAUGUACGUCCAGACGCCAGCUCGAAAUGGAUCGAAAAUCUAAAUGUAAGAGCUACAACUUUUAAAAGAAAGAUAGAUCACUUGGACAUCAUUAAAAUGAAAAACUUUUCGUGCUCCAAAGGACGCUAUCAAGAAAGUGAAAAACAGCCCACAGAAGAGAAAAAAAAUUUUUUUGCAAACCAUAUACUUGAUGAGGAACUUGUAUCUGGAAUAUGUAAAGAAGUCAUACAAUUCAAUAAUAAAAAAGGUAAAUUAUUCAAUUAAAAAUGGGCAAAGGAUCUGCAAAAGCCAUUUCUCCAGCAAAGAUAUAUAAACGGCCAAUAAGCACCUGGAAAAAAUGCUCAGCGUGAUUAGCCAUAAGGAAGUGCAGGUCAAAACCACAGUGAGACACCACUCUGCACCUCCCAGGAUGGCUGUGUUAUGAUAAAAAGGGUAGAUAAUAACAAGUAUCGGUAAGGAGGGGGUGAAAUUGGGACCUUUAUACAUUGCUGGUGCAACACGAUGGAAAAUGGUCUGGAAAAGCAGGUCCUCAAAAGGUUAGACAUAGAAUUACCCUAUAACCCAGCAAUUCCACUCCUAGGUGUAUAUACUCCAGAGACAUGGAAACACGUCCACACGAAAACCUGUACGUGAAGGUUUGCAGCAGCAUUAUUGUUCAUAACAGCCAAGGAGUGGGAGCAACCCGAACGGGCAUCACUUCUAUACAACGGAGUGUUGUUUGGCCAUAAAAAAGAAUGCAUUACUGGUACCUGCUACAACACAGGUGAACCUUGAAAAAAUUAUGCUAAGUGAGAGAAGCCAGAAAUGAAAGGUCACGUAUUGUAUGAUUCCAUUUACACGAGAUGCCCGCAGGAGGCAAACGCACAAAAACAGGAAUAAAUGGGUGGUUGCCUGGGGCUUGUGUGCGGAGGGGUGGAGUCAGGGGAGAUCUGGGGGGAAACGCGUACAGGUUUCUAUUUGGAGUAACGAAAAUAUUCUAACAUUGAUUAUGGGGAUGGCCGCACAAUUCUGUGAAUAUACGAAAAACUAUUGAAUGGUACACUUUAAAUGGGUAAAUUGUGUGGUAUGUGAAUUACAUCUCGAUCAAGCUGUUACCCCCCCCAAAAAUCACUUACCUAUUAUAAACUUUUCUCUGAUCCCUGUGCCUACGCAUCAAGAUGAAUUUACCCUUUUUUCUCUCAUAGCAUCUUGUUUUUAACUUUUAUCAUCAUCAUCAUCAUCAUCAUCAUCGUUGUCACUAGAAAUAGUUAAAUACUUCCCAUAUACCAGACACUGUGCUAAGUAAGGACUUUUCAGGGAUUUUCCCAUUUCAUUCUCCCGGCAAUUCUUCAAGGAAGAAACUAUUGUAUUUUUGUUUUACUGACCA
Molecule: long non-coding RNA, 4986 nt
Organism: Phyllostomus discolor (pale spear-nosed bat)
Lineage: Eukaryota; Metazoa; Chordata; Mammalia; Chiroptera; Phyllostomidae
Exons: 2
Source: RefSeq, a predicted model, not a curated record